AUUUUGAAUGGCCGCGGUAUUUUGACCGUGCAAAGGUAGCAUAAUAAUUAGUUUUUUAAUUGAAAGCUGGAAUGAAAGGUUGGAUGAGAAAAUAACUGUCUCUAUUUAAAUUAAUUAGAAUUUUAUUUUUAAGUAAAAAAGCUUAAAUUAUAAUUGAAGACGAGAAGACCCUAUAGAGUUUUAUUAAUUUUUAGUAUUUAGUCUUUAGUAUUUAUUGAUUUUUUCUUAAGAAUUAAUUUAGUUGGGGUGAUUGAAAAAUUUAGAAAACUUUUUUUAUAUGUAAACAUUUAUUUAUGAAUAUAUGAUCCUUUUAUAAAGAUUAAAAGAUAAAAUUACCUUAGGGAUAACAGCGUAAUUUUUUUAGAGAGUUCAAAUCGAAAAAAAAGAUUGCGACCUCGAUGUUGGAUUAAAAUAAAAUUUUGGUGUAGAAGCUAAUAAAUUUAGGUCUGUUCGACCUUUAAAAUUUUACUUGAU
Molecule: ribosomal RNA, 474 nt
Filed under: Strangaliodes niger
Lineage: Eukaryota; Metazoa; Arthropoda; Insecta; Coleoptera; Curculionidae
Description: partial 16S ribosomal RNA
Rfam family: Bacterial large subunit ribosomal RNA
Source: RNAcentral